Molecule: ribosomal RNA, 303 nt
Filed under: uncultured bacterium
Lineage: Bacteria
Description: partial 16S ribosomal RNA
Rfam family: Bacterial small subunit ribosomal RNA
Source: RNAcentral
AGCAGUAGCCGCGGGAAUACGAAGGGGGCUAGCGUUGUUCGGAAUCACUGGGCGUAAAGCGUGCGUAGGCGGCUAAUUGAGUCGGAUGUGAAAUCCCCGAGCUUAACUUGGGAAUUGCAUUCGAUACUGGUUAGCUAGAGUGUGGGAGAGGAUGGUAGAAUUCCAGGUGUAGCGGUGAAAUGCGUAGAGAUCUGGAGGAAUACCGAUGGCGAAGGCAGCCAUCUGGCCUAACACUGACGCUGAGGUACGAAAGCAUGGGGAGCAAACAGGAUUAGAUACCCGCGUAGUCCCUGUCUCUUAUAC